CCUACGGGGGGCUGCAGUGAGGAAUAUUGGUCAAUGGGCGCGAGACUGAACCAGCCAAGUAGCGUGAAGGAUGACUGCCCUACGGGUUGUAAACUUCUUUUAUAAAGGAAUAAAGUGAGGCACGUGUGCCUUUUUGUAUGUACUUUAUGAAUAAGGAUCGGCUAAUUCCGUGCCAGCAGCCGCGGUAAUACGGAGGAUCCGAGCGUUAUCCGGAUUUAUUGGGUUUAAAGGGAGCGUAGAUGGGUUGUUAAGUCAGUUGUGAAAGUUUGCGGCUCAACCGUAAAAUUGCAAUUGAUACUGGCAGUCUUGAGUACAGUUGAGGUAGGCGGAAUUCGUGGUGUAGCGGUGAAAUGCUUAGAUAUCACGAAGAACUCCGAUUGCGAAGGCAGCUUACUAAACUGCCACUGACAUUGAUGCUCGAAGGUGUGGGUAUCAAACAGGAUUAGAUACCCUUGUAGUC
RNAcentral lists this ribosomal RNA (460 nucleotides) under uncultured bacterium. Its description in RNAcentral is "partial 16S ribosomal RNA". It matches the Rfam family "Bacterial small subunit ribosomal RNA", at positions 338 to 795 of the family's 1533-position model. The record is from RNAcentral.